This 73-nucleotide transfer RNA is filed under the name Chloroflexota bacterium. RNAcentral's name for it is "Chloroflexi bacterium (hot springs metagenome) tRNA-Val". It matches the Rfam family "tRNA". From Rfam's summary of the family: Transfer RNA (tRNA) molecules are approximately 80 nucleotides in length. Their secondary structure includes four short double-helical elements and three loops (D, anti-codon, and T loops). The record is from RNAcentral. Lineage: Bacteria; Bacillati; Chloroflexota.
GGGCGGUUAGCUCAGCGGUCAGAGCGCUGCGUUGACAUCGCAGAGGUCACUGGUUCAAGUCCAGUACCGCCCA